Molecule: long non-coding RNA, 676 nt
Filed under: Gallus gallus (chicken)
Lineage: Eukaryota; Metazoa; Chordata; Aves; Galliformes; Phasianidae
Description: long non-coding RNA NONGGAT001484
Source: RNAcentral
UCCACAUAGGUGCUGUUCAAAUGCACAACGGUAGUCUCCAGCACCUUGUGUGGCUCGGUUUGCAGUGGAACUCUAGGCCAGUGUCACCCUCAACGCGGCAUCUGUUAAAACAACUUUUCCACUUGCCCUAAGAAACAUCAAGGCAUGAGACAGAUGCUCCUGAAUCCAUAUGCCUGUUAGAUCUUGAAGGCUCUAGCCUGGCUCACAUUUCUGUGACCAAAGGGAAUACAUGGGACAAAGUAUCUAUUACUGGAAGAAAAUUCUGAUUACUUUGGAAACCAUCAAAAAGAACAAAAGUAUUCCUGAACCAACUGAAUGUGCUGCAAGUUUCAAAGCCAGCAGUAAUACUGCACAAGAAAAAGUUAGAUUAGCCUUUGCUAAAAAGGAAGGCCAAUGGGACUGUAACAUCUGUUCAGUGAGAAACAAACCCACUGCCUCCUAACGUUUAGCCUGCCAGAAUCCAAGCAAAACUGAUACAAAAGCAUCUCUCCAACAAUUUUCCUUUAAAUCUGAACAAGUAGAUGCUCCAAAGAUCACUCAAAAUUACUUGAGAACUGCUUUUCCUACAGCUGUUCUAUCUGCCUAAUCCAAAACAAAGCAAGUGAUGAAAACUGUUGUUCCUAUAAGAAUCGAAACUCGCGAAGUCAACCUAAUGUGCUAGUAUCCAUUGUUCAGG